AGAGUUUGAUCAUGGCUCAGGAUGAACGCUGGCGGCGUGCUUAACACAUGCAAGUCGAACGAACCUUCGGGUUAGUGGCGGACGGGUGAGUAACGCGUGAGAAUCUGCCCUCAGGAGGGGGAUAACAGCUGGAAACGCUGCUAAUACCCCCUAUGCCGCGAGGUGAAAUGAAUUUCGCCUGAGGAUGAGCUCGCGUCUGAUUAGCUAGUUGGUGUAGGUAAUGGCUCACCAAGGCAUCGAUCAGUAUCUGGUCUGAGAGGAUGAUCAGCCACACUGGGGACUGAGACACGGCCCAGACUCCUACCGGAAGCAGCACUGGGGAAUUUUCC
RNAcentral lists this ribosomal RNA (329 nucleotides) under uncultured cyanobacterium DCM-FREE-7. RNAcentral's name for it is "bacterial SSU rRNA". It matches the Rfam family "Bacterial small subunit ribosomal RNA", at positions 8 to 367 of the family's 1533-position model. Lineage: Bacteria; Bacillati; Cyanobacteriota. The record is from RNAcentral.